Non-coding RNA from Salmo salar (Atlantic salmon), 54 nucleotides. The record is from Rfam. NCBI's taxonomy places the organism in Eukaryota, Metazoa, Chordata, Actinopteri, Salmoniformes, Salmonidae.
AAAAAUGAUGCACGUAAGUCACUUUGGAUAAAAGUGUCUGCUAAAUGGCAUUUC